RNAcentral lists this transfer RNA (72 nucleotides) under Candidatus Moranbacteria bacterium CG_4_9_14_3_um_filter_42_9. RNAcentral's name for it is "tRNA-Gln". It matches the Rfam family "tRNA". From Rfam's summary of the family: Transfer RNA (tRNA) molecules are approximately 80 nucleotides in length. Lineage: Bacteria; Candidatus Moraniibacteriota. The record is from RNAcentral.
UGGGGUGUAGCCAAGUGGUAAGGCAACGGCCUUUGGCGCCGUCAUGCGUAGGUUCGAAUCCUACCGCCCCAA